Otolemur garnettii (small-eared galago) is the source of this 296-nucleotide non-coding RNA. The record is from Rfam. NCBI's taxonomy places the organism in Eukaryota, Metazoa, Chordata, Mammalia, Primates, Galagidae.
UCCACACAGUGGCGUGCCUGUAGUCCCAGCUACUCCGGAGGCUGAGACAGGAGGAUUGCUUGAGUCCAGGAGUUCUGGGCUAUAGUGCACUAUGUGGAUCAGGUGUCCGCACUAAGUUUGGCAUCCAUAUGGUGACCUCCCAGGAGCAGGGGGCCACUAGGUUGCCUAAGGAGGCAAUCACUGGCCCAGGUUGGAAAUGGAGCAGGUCAAAACUCCUGUGCUGAUCAGUAGUGGGAUCGUGCCUGUGAAUAGCCACUGCACUCCAGCCUGGACAACAUAGUGAGACCCCAUCUCUU